RNAcentral lists this ribosomal RNA (512 nucleotides) under Milesia scolopendri. Its description in RNAcentral is "eukaryotic LSU rRNA". It matches the Rfam family "Eukaryotic large subunit ribosomal RNA", at positions 86 to 603 of the family's 3401-position model. Lineage: Eukaryota; Fungi; Basidiomycota; Pucciniomycetes; Pucciniales; Milesinaceae. The record is from RNAcentral.
ACGGCGAGUGAAGAGGGAAAAGCCCAAAUUUGUAAUCUGGCUCUUUUAUAGAGUCCGAGUUGUAAUUUUAAGAACUGUUUUCCGUGCUGGACCAUGUACAAGUCUGUUGGAAAACAGCAUCAUUGAGGGUGAAAAUCCCGUACAUGAUAUGGACUACCAGUGCAAUGUGAUACAGUUUCUAAGAGUCGAGUUGUUUGGGAAUGCAGCUCAAAGUGGGUGGUAAAUUCCAUCUAAGGCUAAAUAUAGGUGAGAGACCGAUAGCAAACAAGUACCGUGAGGGAAAGAUGAAAAGAACUUUGGAAAGAGAGUUAACAGUACGUGAAAUUGUUAAAAGGGAAACAUUUGACGUUAGACUUGUUAUUGCUGGUUCAGCCUUUUUAAGGUGUACUCCAGUGAUUAACAGACCAGCAUCAAUUUUUGGGUGUUGUAAAAAAGUCUUGGAAAUGUGGCAGCCUUUGGUUGUGUUAUAGUCCUUGGCAAUGCAAUGCUUAAGAUUGAGGAACGCAGUAAGC